RNAcentral lists this ribosomal RNA (253 nucleotides) under uncultured bacterium. RNAcentral describes it as "partial 16S ribosomal RNA". It matches the Rfam family "Bacterial small subunit ribosomal RNA", at positions 524 to 776 of the family's 1533-position model. The record is from RNAcentral. RNAcentral also lists the same sequence under 1 other name.
UACGAAGGGUCCAAGCGUUGUUCGGAAUCAUUGGGCGUAAAGCGCGCGCAGGCGGAUUAAUAAGUCAGGUGUGAAAUCUCGGAGCUCAACUCCGAAACUGCGCCUGAAACUAUUAGUCUAGAAUGUCGGAGGGGGCAGGGGAAUUUCACGUGUAGGGGUAAAAUCCGUAGAGAUGUGAAGGAACACCGGGGGCGAAGGCGCCUGCCUGGACGACUAUUGACGCUGAGGCGCGAAAGCGUGGGGAGCAAACAGG